CCUACGGGAGGCAGCAGUAGGGAAUCUUCCACAAUGGGCGCAAGCCUGAUGGAGCAACGCCGCGUGGGUGAAGACGGUCUUCGGAUCGUAAAACCCUGUUGUUAGAGAAGUAAGUGCGUGCGAGUAACUGUUUACGUAUCGACGGUAUCUAACCAGAAAGCCACGGCCCACUACGUGCCAGCAGCUGCGGUAAUACGUAGGUGGCAUGCGUUAUCCGGAUUGAUUGGGCGUAAGGGGAACGCAGGCGGUCUUUUAAGUCUGAUGUGAAAGCCUUCGGCUUAACCGGAGUAGUGCAUGGGAUACUGGGAGACUUGAGUGCAGAAGAGGAGGGUGGAACUCGAGGUGUAGCGGUGAAAUGCGUAGAUAUAUGGAAGAACACCGGUGGCGAAGGCGGCUCUCUGGUCUGUAACUGACGCUGAGGUUCGAAAGCGUGGGUAGCAAACAGGAUUAGAUACCCGAGUAGUC
Molecule: ribosomal RNA, 465 nt
Filed under: uncultured bacterium
Lineage: Bacteria
Description: partial 16S ribosomal RNA
Rfam family: Bacterial small subunit ribosomal RNA
Source: RNAcentral